This is a long non-coding RNA of Lingula anatina, 341 nucleotides long. The record is from RefSeq and is a predicted model, not a curated record. Lineage: Eukaryota; Metazoa; Brachiopoda; Lingulata; Lingulida; Lingulidae.
UUCUAUUGUUCCGUCGAGGGAUAGAUACCUAUAAAAGAAAAGUGUGGAAGACAAAUUUAUCAGGAGCUCAAUCUGGACGAAUUCGCCGCCAGUUCAACAGCUCUGCUAUACAAAUACAGCUUCCAUUUGGGUCAAAAGAGCCAUAAAGUUUGAAAAACAAUGAAAAUUUCACUAGUUGCCGCUGCAUUGUUACUGGUGGCACAUUUGGUGGAAGCCACCAGUGAGAGAUCAGGGAACGAAGUUUAUUCUGCCCAGAAACGGUCUUCACUCACGAAAGGUCUUGCUCGCAGAAGAGCAUGCGGCUCCAUUAACUGCAAGGUGUCGGGCUGUGAGUCCAGGGG